AGGAGUGUAGCUCAACUGGUAGAGCGCCGGUCUCCAAAACCGGAGGUUGCGGGUUCGAGUCCCUCCACUCCUGCCA
RNAcentral lists this transfer RNA (76 nucleotides) under Alphaproteobacteria bacterium. RNAcentral's name for it is "tRNA-Trp". It matches the Rfam family "tRNA". From Rfam's summary of the family: Transfer RNA (tRNA) molecules are approximately 80 nucleotides in length. Their secondary structure includes four short double-helical elements and three loops (D, anti-codon, and T loops). Further hydrogen bonds mediate the characteristic L-shaped molecular structure. tRNAs have two regions of fundamental functional importance: the anti-codon, which is responsible for specific mRNA codon recognition, and the 3' end, to which the tRNAs corresponding amino acid is attached (by aminoacyl-tRNA synthetases). tRNAs cope with the degeneracy of the genetic code in two manners: having more than one tRNA (with a specific anti-codon) for a particular amino acid; and 'wobble' base-pairing, i.e. permitting non-standard base-pairing at the 3rd anti-codon position. The record is from RNAcentral. Lineage: Bacteria; Pseudomonadati; Pseudomonadota; Alphaproteobacteria.